AGCCUGGAACCUAUCCCAGGGGACUUGGGGCACAAUGUUGGGGACACCCUAGACAGGGUGCAAACCCAUCGCAGGGCACUAUUCACACUCUACUGACAAUUUCGAGAUUGUCCAAUCAGCCUACAAAUGCCUGUCUUUGGACUGGAGGAGGAAACCCCUGAAGCACACAGAGCAGAGACCUGAUUGAGAACUUGCAAAUGCCUUGGUAGAAGAGUGGAGUAACAGCUCACAGCAAGAACUGACAAAUCUGGUGCAGUCCAUGAGGAUGAGAUGCACUGUAGUACAUAAAGCAGCUGGUGGACAACAGAUACUGACUGUUACUUUUGAUAUUGACCCCGCUUUGUUCAGGGACUCAUUAUUCCAUUUCUGUUUGUCAAAUGUCUGUGAAACUUGUUCAGUUUAUGUCUCCGUUGUUGAAUGUUUUUAUAUUAAUACAAAUAAUUACGCAUGUUAAGAGAUUUGCUGGAAAUAAAAGCAGUUGUAUGUGC
This is a long non-coding RNA of Ictalurus punctatus (channel catfish), 488 nucleotides long. RefSeq lists it as uncharacterized. NCBI's taxonomy places the organism in Eukaryota, Metazoa, Chordata, Actinopteri, Siluriformes, Ictaluridae. The transcript is spliced from 2 exons. The record is from RefSeq and is a predicted model, not a curated record.